Molecule: unclassified non-coding RNA, 1047 nt
Filed under: Hevea brasiliensis (rubber tree)
Lineage: Eukaryota; Viridiplantae; Streptophyta; Magnoliopsida; Malpighiales; Euphorbiaceae
Source: RNAcentral
CAAAGUUUACGUUUCUGGCCAGGUUAUAUAUGUGAUUAUUUAGUAUUAUUUGGUAUUUGAGUUGAAUGUUAAUGAUUGAGGUUUUUGAGAUUUGUGCUUUCCUUGUCAACUCAGGCCAAUAAUGCAUAUAUUUUCCCUGGAUUUGGCUUGGGUUUGGUCAUCUCUGGAGCAAUCCGUGUUCAUGAUGAUAUGCUUCUGGCAGCCUGUAAGUUUAACACCUAUGAAGAAUAAUAAUUAUUAACUCCACCCCCAAAGCGACUUCAAAGGGAUUGAGAGAGAUUGACAUAACUAAGAUAAAACUUAAGUCUCUGACUCUCUGUCACCAGUAGAAUUGAACCAUGAAUUUUUGUAAUUGUGUUUUUUGAUGAUUCUAUGAUAUGACAUUAAGCUUAAUCAUAAAUAGGUAGUUGACUUUGAAGGGAAUAAAAUAACUAAAAUAAAUCUUGUAAGUUUCUGUCGACAGCAGAACUAAUCACAAAUUUCCAAAAUUACAUUUUUGGGAUGAUUUUCUGAACUGCUAUGAUGUUUAGGUUCAAAAUAGGGGCAUGUAGGCUUUAGAUCUUCUAUAGCUGUUGAAAAAUUAACUUACACAUUUAUGUUGUGUGCAUCCUGUAACAGCGGAAGCCUUGGCGGGACAAGUUUCAGAGGAAAACUAUGCCAACGGGCUGAUUUACCCACCUUUCUCUAACAUCAGAAAAAUUUCAGCACAUAUUGCUGCUAAUGUAGCUGCUAAGGCAUAUGAACUUGGGCUGGCUACACGUCUCCCUCGUCCAGAGAACCUUGUGAAGUAUGCUGAGAGUUGCAUGUACAGUCCUGUCUAUAGAAGUUAUCGUUAAUUUUGAGGUUUUCUUGGUGUGAAGCCACAUGUAAAAUGUAUUAGCUCUGAGCAAAAUAAGAUUCUGAUAUGAAUCAUCAACAUCGCCGGCUGUGUGUUGUAAUUUUGUGUUUUCCUUUGAUGUGAAGUUGCAAUUUUUAGUCUAUGUGCUUAAGAAGUUGUAUCUCCAAACAAAAUAAGAAUUUGAUAUGAAUAAUAAAUUAGACUUCUUG